GCGGGUCACUUUCAAACAACUUUUUCCAUAGUAAAGCACGGGUACAAUCAGGAUCAGGUCUCCGUCCUACAAACAUGGAGAUGGAAUUAGCAGAUUAACACUAGAUGAAGAAGAAGAAGCAGUUCUUCAAGUACAAACAGAGCAGCGCACACAGGGAGAAGAGGGGAUUUUCAGGUUAGUGGGUUGUUUCUUAAUAGCAAGUGUUUUCAUUAUCCUGCAAUGAAAAGUACUAUGGCAAAUUUAUGGCAUCCGGUUCAGGUUGUCCAGAUUCGGGAUCUGGGAGAUAGAAGAUUCUUGUUCCAAUUUUUUCAUGUUAUGGAUUUGGAGAGAGUAUUAAAUGGAUCACCAUGGACAUUUAAUAAUCACUUACUGCUGCUAUACAAAUUACAACUGGGGGAGGAUCCAUUAAGAGUUUUUUUUUUGCUUUUUUUGUAGUCGUUUGGGUCAUAGUGAUGCUUUUUGUGAAGCAAAAAUGGAAGCAGGUAUGGAAGUUGCUGAUAUGGGGUGGAACUUAUCGUUGAGAGCUCAAUCUAGAAGGGCUUUAGCAAUGAAAAGUAUAUGGCUGCGAGAAGACAAUGAUGAUAAUUUUGGAGUUAAUAGUGCAGACAGACGCAUUCAAAGGAACGACAAAUGGGCUGCGAAACACACGCAAGGAUUUUGGUGACCUAUUGACCCAAUACUGGGACUAAGCCUGAAAGGAAAACCGGCUUAUGUGGGGCAAGAGAGAGUUAAAUCGACGAUUAAUCCAGCUCCUGCUGAUAUGGAGCAUGAUCAGGAAGAUGGAAUUUUAAUUGGGGAGGAAGGGCAAAAGAGAGCUAGAGGGGAGAAUGAGGAUGAGAUCAAUAAUUCAAUGAACAGAAAUAGACGAGUAUUGGAAGGUAAUUAUUUAUUAUCGGUGGCUGCCAAGAGGCAUGCCGACCGGGCGCAAUGAAAAUCUUGAGUUGGAAUGUCCGUGGAUUAGGAAGUCCACGGGCGAUUCGCAGACUUCGGCAUUCACUGAAGAUACAUAAUCCCCAAGUGGUUUUCUUUAUGGAAACUAAGGUGUGUAAAAAUAACAUGGAAAGAAUUUGUCAUAGAUGUGGUUAUAUGAAUGGGAUUGAAGUUGAUCCAAUUAAUACUAGAGGUGGUCUAUGUUUAGCAUGGAGGAAUGAUAUUUGCAUUGAGCUUAGGAGUUUUUCUAAGAGACACAUUGAUGUGGUGGUUGAGGAUAAGGAGGUAAAGGGAAAAUGGAGACUCACUGGAUUCUAUGGAUCUCCCUAUGCUCAAGACAUGAGUGAAUCUUGGAAUGUGUUGAGGAAUUUACACAAUGAUGAUGGGAGGCCUUGGUUCGUUUGUGGAGACUUUAAUGAGAUAAUGUACAGCCAUAAAAAAAAAGGAGGGCUACCUUGUGAUGAACGAAAAAUGGAGAAUUUUCGUAUUGUUUUAGUGGAUUGUGAACUUUUGGAUGUGGGCUUUUCUGGGAAUUGGUUUACGUGGGAAAGAGGAAAUCUGCCCUAAACAAAUAUUCGGGAAUGACUUGAUCGUGGAGUUGUUAAUGAUGUAUGGAUGAGUUUGUUUCCGGAGGUCAUUAUUCAACAUAUGCCUCACUCUUUUUCGGAUCAUUGUCCUCUCUUAAUUACUACUAGGAGGGUUGAAAAGGGGAUAAAUACUAAAGCAUUCAAGUUUGAAGCAUGGUGGAUAAUGGAAGAGUCUUUUAAUAAAGUCAAAAAUUUAUGGGAGUCAUCUUCUAGAAGCCUAUUACAAAAGCUAGAUAUCUUAAAAAAAGUCGAACUCAAUUUGAUAGAAGGAGAAAGGAUAUGCUCACAGUUAGACUAUCAGAACUUGCAGGGGAUGAGAGAGAUGAUAUUAACAUGGCAGAAUUGAUUGAUUGUAAAAUUCAAUUGAACUUUGAGAUUGAGAAGGAUGAACGUUACUGGGAACAGUGAGCUCGGAUAAAUUGGUUGAAAUUUGGGGAUAAGAAUACUGUAUUUUUUCAUAACCAAGCGACGCAGCGUAAAAGAAAAAACGUCAUACACAAACUUAACGAUAAAGGAGGAGGAACAACGGAGAUUAUAAAAGAAAUGGAGGGAAUUGCGCGAUCUUAUUUUCAAAAUUUAUCUUCAACAGAUGGACGAGAAAAUCUUGACCAUUUGUUAUCAAGUAUUGAGAAAUGCAUAUCUGAGGAGGAAAACGAAGAUCUUUUGAGGCCUUAUACGGCAGAGGAGUUUAGAGAGGCGCUUUUUACAAUGGGUCCUACCAAAACACCAGGUGAACAUGGCUUCCCGGCACUAUUUUACCAAAAUUGCUGGCACAUCAUUAGGGAGGACGUCACCAAAUUCUGUUUACAAAUUCUAAAUGAAGGUAUGGAUUUUCAACAAAUUAAUGCGACUCAAAUAAAUUUUAUCCCUAAAAUUGAUAAUCAUACUACUAUGAUGGAUUUCCGUCCUAUCAGUCUGUGCAAUGUGCUUUAUAAAAUUACAGCAAAAACGAUUGCAAAUAGGCAUAGAGGAGUUAUCAAAAAAUGCAUUGAUAGGGCCUAAAGUACGUUUGUACCAGGCAGAUUGAACUCAGACAAUAUUCUACUUGCAUAUGAAAUUCUUCAUACUCUUAAACAAAAGAGAAAUGGGAAAAAAGGUCUUAUGGCAGUCAAGUUGGACAUAAGUAAAGCAUAUGACAGGGUUGAGUGGAAUUUUAUAAAAAAAAUGAUGGCACGAAUGGGGUUUGAUAUGAGAGUGAUCAGAAUUUUGAUGAAAUGUUUGACAACGGUCUCCUACUCAGUAGUUGUAAACGAAUACAUAGGAGAAAGCUUUCAACCAACAAGGGGACUUCGUCAGGUAGAUCCACUUAGCCCGUUUCUUUUUCUCAUUUCUGGGGAAGGGCUGUCAUGUUUAAUGAGAUUAGUAUGCAGGGAAGGACUAGUGAAAAGCGCUAAAGCUAGUAGGAACGGACCACAGGUAUCACAUUUACUGUUUGCUGAUGAUUGUAUCUUAUUUGGUCAAGCAACAAGUAGAGAAGCUAAUUUUUUAAAGGAAAUUUUGGGGGAAUAUAGGAGAUGCUCGGGCCAAUGUGUUAACUUUAAUAAGUCCACUGUCUUUUCUAGCAGUAAUACAAAUGAUGAAGAUAAACGAGAGGUGGUAAACAUUUUGGGGGUGCGUAGUUCAGAAAAUCCGGAGAGGUAUUUGGGGUUACCCAACACAGUUGGAAGAAGGAAAAAAUAAUCUUUUCAGGGCCUAAAAGAUAGAUUUAAGAAACGUAUUGACAAUUGGAGCACCAGGUUUUUGUCUCAGGGCGGGAAAGAAGUGUUUAUUAAAUCAGUCCUUCAAUAUACCAACUUACUUUAUGUCGUGUUUCUUAUUACCCAAGUCUUUAUGUUCAGAAAUGGAAAGCAUUAUAGCUCAAUUUUGGUGGCAAAAGGGGAAUGGAAAACGAGGAAUACAUUAGUGUGCAUGGAAAAAUCUUUGCAUUUUAAAAGAAAAUGGGGGUCUUGGUUUUCGAAACACGAGUCAGUUCAAUAUCGCAUUAUUAGCCAAAUGGGGGUGGCGCCUUAUUAAUUACCUGAAUUCAUUAGUGGCUAGAGUGUUCAAGGCUAAAUACUAUCCAAAUACAGACUUUAACAGCACUCAGUUAGGGAAUAUACCUUUUCUUACCUGGAAGAGUGUGUAGGCUGCUAAGGGAUUGUUAAAUAAUGGACUGUGUUGGAGGGUUGGAAAGGGUGACGGGAUCUCGAUCUGGGAGGAACGUUGGCUACCAGGCAAGGAACCUGAAGAGUGGAAUAGUAGAAACAGAAGUGAAGAGUACAAGUUAGUUUCAGAAUUAAUUGAUCCAAAUACCAGAAUGUGGAAGACAGAUAUUAUCAUGCAAAUCAUGCAAAUUCCUCUUGCGAAAAUUCCUCAUAACGACAUUCAAAUGUGGAAGGGAGAAUCGACCGGAGAAUUCACUGUCAGAAGCGCCUACAAACUAUUACAAGAAGCUAGCAUGGAUCCUAGUUAUUAUUAUUUACAGGCCGACUCAAAGAAUUUGUACAAAAAACUUUGGAAUCUAAGACUACCCUAAAAAAUACUGAUUGCAAUUUAGAGAAUUACAUGGAACUAUAUCCCGAAUUUUGUAAAUCUAAAACAUAAGCGAGUGAUCAAUAGUGCUUUAUUCCCUCGUUGCGGGAAUGGAGAAGAAGACAGUGGGCAUGUCUUUUUGAAUUGCCCUGUUACAGUAGUGAUUUGGAGGAAGUUAGAGGUCUCAUGGGUAGACAGAAUAGUUCAAAAUAUCUGGGAAUGGAUCACCUGGAUCUUUCAAAAUACUGCUAUUCAACAGUGUCGCUUGCUCUGCUGUGGCUUGUGGAUUAUAUGGAGUUCACGAAAUAAGCUUGUACACGAAAGGAAGUUAGAGUCAGAAGAUGAGAUUUUACAGAAUAUUCGAAGAUAUAUGGCUGAGAUUGAAGGAUUAGAAGAAAAGAAACUCACCUCUCCAACGGGGUAUAGAAGCAACACUAUAGAUGUAAACACCAGGGCAACGAUUCAGUUUGACGCUGCACUCGAUAACAGAAACCACAGAUCAGCAUCGGGAUUAGUGGUUUGGCGUCAGACGGGGGAACUCCUUGCAUUUAAGUCAAUGAUCAACUGGAAGGUUUCAUCUCCGUUUGUUGCAGAGGCGUAUGCAGGCUUACAGGCUGUUCAAUUAGGGAUCUCGCUAAAACUUCCCUCAGUAACGGUUAUGGGAUAUUCUCAAACAGUUAUCAAAAAAUGCCAGUCAAAGAACUCGGAUAAAUCAAUCAUCGGUACAAUAAUCAGAGACAUUUAUAGCAGUAUGAACAGGUUUCAAGAAAUAAAAUUCCAGUUUAUUAAAAGAACAGAGAAUGCCUAUGCUCACAACCUGGCAAAGGAGUCUUUGAGAAAGAAUGAGGAAACGUACCAGAGAAGGCCGGAUCUGACUCAACACCAUUCCCAACCGGAGAGAAAAUAGAGGAACAACCCAGAUUGAGAUUUGUUUGGGGUUAAUGAAAUAAAACAGAUAGCUGAAAAUGGUAUAUGGAUAAACUAUUGACAAGCAUAGAGAAGACAGUGAUGUGGAAGGAAAUGGAGUACAGUUGUGUCUUGGGAAUCGGCUAGUUUAAUUUCAACAAGCUUCCUUUUUAUUUGUUUUUCAAUUAAUAGGCAGGUUUUAUUAGAAUUAUUUUAAUUAUUUUUGAAACUAAUGGCUAAAGAAAUAGGCCAAUUAUGGGAUAGGAAGUCUAGAGUGUCAUAGGCCUGAACCAUUAUUAUUAGGUUUUGUAUUUGACUUCUUUAUUUAUUUAAGUCUAG
This 5273-nucleotide long non-coding RNA is filed under the name Gossypium barbadense (sea-island cotton). RNAcentral describes it as "long non-coding RNA (GBAR_LNC007598)". The record is from RNAcentral. Lineage: Eukaryota; Viridiplantae; Streptophyta; Magnoliopsida; Malvales; Malvaceae.